CCCGCUCCGCCGCCGCGGGGUCCGGAGCGCCUCGGGCCGGGCGGAGCGGCGGCGGCGGGGUUACAUAGAGCCCCGGCUACACGCCCAGUGCCGUGUGUGCGGCCGGGGAGGGAAGGAUGGAUCUUGGCACUACGCGUGGAAAGAGCCGCUCAUCCGCGGGGAGGAUAUCCUUAAAAAAAAAAAAAAAAAAAAAAAAAAAAAAAAAAAAAUCACUGCGUGUUGUGGAGUCGCUGUUUCAGAGGAGAGCGGCUUAGCUUGAAAGCUGAUGCGCUGCCCUUUCGCUCCUUCAGCUGCCCUUGGAUGGGUUGUGGAAGGCGGGACUGCCAAGAGCGCUCUCUCUCCGGUCAAGGGUUACCCCAGGCUGUUGGCAUGGGCUCAGAAGCGAAAGUUUGCGGGCAUGUGCAGCUCUGAGAAUGCCACAGGACUCUUCUUUUGGGGGAUUAAUACCUGGUGUAAUGCAAGCAAAUUUUUGACUAUCUCUUCUACAGUGUGGUACUUGAAGACUUGCACUUUCAAUAGUCAAAUGUUUUGAAAAAUACGCACUAUGAAGCUGCAGUCUGGCAAAACUAUCACCAAGACCAAAUUUCCUUCUAAGAAACUUUCCUUCUAGUAGUUAUUCCAAUUUCUUACAUUAGUACAUGUGUGUUCACAAAAUGAGAUAGUAUAUGCAGAUUGUCAGGGUGCAAAAUAUAAAGGAAAAACUUUUUUAGCUGCUUUGUUAAUGUUAGUUUUAUGGCUGAAACAUCAGGAAGACUGAUAAUUAGUUCAAUUUAAUUUUUUAAUUUAAAUAAUGUAAUUGAUGGAAGAAGUCAGCAUAGUAGCUUAAUGCAUUAAUGUAAACAUGACUGAAAGAUGAUGCUGAAGUCUUGUAAUAAGAAUUUUGCUCUUUCCUCCAAUUUUGCUCUUUCCUUCAGUAGCGGCAGGACUUUAUUUUAUUUUAUUUUUAAGAUAAAAAGUCUGGUAACGCAUAGGAAACUUUUUCUUCAGUCAAAGUGACAAAUAGAUGUUGUGAUCUGUGCUAUGCCCCAUAUCACGUGUUUAGAUGCCAAUCAAUCCCUCUUAUGUGACCUAACCCUGGACCAUGGCAUAAACUUUAGAUGAAGAUAUUAUUUGAUAUAUUUGUAUGUAGAAGGUGCUUAAAUAUUCCAACUUUGUCUGCUUUUAAAAAUAUCUUGAAUCACUAUAUGAAUUUUAUUUUCCAAGUGUUUCUUUUCAUGAUUUAGCAAUAUUUUGGGUUUUUUUCCUGAAAAGGCUACCUGCCAGAAGAUCAAAUUCAAGUGUUCAGAAGUGUACUGUAUUUUUUAAAGGAAAAAACAAACACCAGCCAGUUGAAAAAUUAAAAGAUGGAAUUUAAAAUCUAUUAUGUGAAUAUCAUCUUCACAAGCUGUUUUAAUCAAGAAAUCAUUAAAAGAGUCCUGAACAUGUAAAAGCCUAUCCCAGCUGAGUUUUACCUUGUUUAAAUGACUGGUAUCACUUUGCCUGUUUUGAAAAAUACAGUUGAUGCUGAGCUGUAAUAGACACCUCUCCCUCUGGAGUGGAAUUGAGCUGCAGCUUGUCUGGGGCAUUUGUAGCAGAAUAAAACUGAAAUAUUUCUGUAGAAUUUCCGAGAC
RNAcentral lists this long non-coding RNA (1610 nucleotides) under Parus major (Great Tit). RNAcentral's name for it is "lncRNA (ENSPMJG00000005357.1)". The record is from RNAcentral. Lineage: Eukaryota; Metazoa; Chordata; Aves; Passeriformes; Paridae.